UGUUCUGUACAUCACUCGUUGUGUCACAAUAACUGAUUAUCUGUAAAAUACUUGAAGUGCAGAAUUUAAUGUAUUUGGAAUGUUGAGUUUAAUAUAGUUUAUUUGGGUCAAUCCAACGCUUGUGUGACCAAUGCAAAAAAGUACUUUGGCAGCGACUGUCCUUGACAACAAAACACAACUGUAGAUAAAGUUAAGUGACCCCAGUGGUGAACGUGAUUUCACAAAGUACAAAAUGUUCCUGGAUCAAAAUCUAAUCUACUGAUCAGAAUAAAGGGAUAACUUUUCAGAAAAUAUGUCAAUUUUAGGCUUACGUUCAGGCUUGCUUCUGUACCCUUGAUAAUUAGCUAUCAUUUCCCUCUGAUUUUAAGAAUAAAUUAUGGCCAGGGUUAGGUUUAGGGGUAGGGAUUGGGCUUGGGCUAAGUCUAUUUAUUUUUAAAGUAAUGCUGAUGUUGAUAAACAUGUCUUACUUGGCAAAAUCACGGCGCCCGUUAACCAGGGGUGUAUUCCAGAAAGCUGGGUUAACUUACCAUCUGAUUAACCCUGAACUCUGGGUUGAUUAACCCAAAACCUGGUUACUCAGGGUAUGUCGGUUCCAAAACAUGUAUGUCGAGUUAGUUUAACCAAGCUACUGCUAAUAACCUCGAGUUAAUGCGCGUGCACGGCGACCAUAUUAAGCCAUUUUUAAUGGAAUGCCGAAUUCAAGAGUCACCAUGGAAAAGUCACAUGCCGCGUACUUCUCCGAAGCAUAGUUCGAAGUUUUAAUGUUGGCUUAUGAGGAGUUCAAGCCAAUUAUAAUGAAAAAAAGCAAUACAGCUGCAUAUGCGAGGGAAAGACAAUUGGCUUUGCAAAAAAUAACUAACCGAGUAAAUGCGUGUUUUUUUUUUUUAUAAAUAUGCUUGCCUUUCUUUUGUUAAUUUGCAAAGUUGAACAAUUGUCUUUUUGAGCAUGUGGCAUGACUUGACAGGCAUUUACUUUUCUCUACAUCAGUUGCUUAAGAAUACAGUGCAAUGUAUAUUGACAAGAAAUAUUUAAGCCUCUUGUUUUAUAAGGUGUAUUCCUUUUGGAGCCAAAAUAAAUUCAAAAUGAAACACAAAACAUUCUUCAAAAAGGUAAUAUUUUAUUUUAACUGUUUUAAGAUCAAUGUCUUGAAUAACUUUUACAGUAUUCUUCCUAUAUAGCUAAUAGAAAGAAGGCUGGGGCCUGUCUAACUGGCGGGGGUCCACCUCCACCUCCUCUCACCCCAUCUGAGGAGUUGGCUCUGUCACUUAAUAAAGGUCGCCCUGUGGUUGAUGGUAUUCCAGAGGGCACUUCGUCAGACUUUGCUUCCUCCCAUGACAACUCAAGUGACUUGGUACAAUGAUGAUGAUGAAUAGACCAUAUCUGCUGUGACUGACUUAAAAAGUGCUGGGAGACCCACAGAGAAUCUAGCUGGGGAUGUACAUGCAGAUGAGGGUCCAUCUACCUCGACAUGUAGUCUUAGCAUUUUGUCUGCAAAGGAGCUGUAUAAUGUCAAUCUAUUAAGGCAAAUAAUAAAAAAAAACUGAUAUGGACCUUAUACAGCUUCAGCUAGAGGAGAAAAGGCUGGCCAUUUUAAAAGACAAAACUUGAAAUCGAACUACUGGAGCAUCACCUUAAGGUGAAAAUCAUAUGUGAACAUAAUGUAAAAUGUAAAGCAAUAAAUACAAAUCUGUCAUGUCUCUUUUAUUUCAGGAUAUUAAGAAAUAGCACAUUCAAUAAAGUGAUUUUGACAAAUUAUGUCUCUAAGCAUUCUGCCAUCUCUAUGGUCUGCUAGAUCCAAUGGGUGUUGUUCUAGGUCCUCUUCAUCAGGACAGGGGGGGUGCCUCUCUCCUCUUAUUGUGGCAAUGUUGUGAAGUACCACACAAGCAACUGAUGUCACAUGCCCUAUUUGGAGUGACCCUGAGCCCACGCAGACACUGAAACCUCGCCUUCAGAAUGCCUAUCGUCAUCUCCACCUUGGCCCGUGUUCUGAAGCAUGCCUGUGGUCUGGGUAGGGUAGGGUGUCAUCAUAUAGGGGAGGCAAGGGUAUCCUCUGUCCCCCAGCAAGUAACUAUAGAAGUGUCCUGUAAUGUUUGAGGUGUUUUGUUAAUGUAAUAAAGACUACAAGGGUUUGUCUAACAAAACAUACCCUGUUGAAAUUUGUUGCACAGAGAUGACUCCCUAAAUAUUCUGGCAUCAUCUACAGACCCAGGCCAUUUUGCCUCCUCAUUAGUGAUGAGGUGGGUUGUAUCACAUAUUACCUGUGGAGAGCAAGAAGUUUAUUUGUAACACCAAUAUUAAGGAGCCAAAAUAUACCUAUUACCUGCACAUUAAUGCUAUGCACAGACUUCCUAUUAAUUGAUAGAUGGAGCUUUAAUAGGAAUGUGGGUGCCAUCAAUACACCCAAUCACGUAUGGGAACCCUGAAAUUAAGAUUAAUUACAAGUUUGAAAAGUCUGUUUAGCCUUUAUGUGUGUGCAGUCAAAAUAAACGUGUUAAGAAAUGUAAUUUAAUUGAAGUAGAAUUUCUGAGAGCAAACCUGCCACCCUGUGGAAUUCUUCUUUAAUAAAGCACACAAAAGUGUGUAGAAACCGUUUCAGUGCCAUACAUACUGUACGAAUGGCUCUACACACUGUUGCCUUCCCCACAUGCUCUGCAUCGCCCACAA
Molecule: long non-coding RNA, 2664 nt
Organism: Carassius gibelio (silver crucian carp)
Lineage: Eukaryota; Metazoa; Chordata; Actinopteri; Cypriniformes; Cyprinidae
Exons: 4
Source: RefSeq, a predicted model, not a curated record